Mycena epipterygia is the source of this 105-nucleotide non-coding RNA. The record is from the annotation of a GenBank genome assembly. NCBI's taxonomy places the organism in Eukaryota, Fungi, Basidiomycota, Agaricomycetes, Agaricales, Mycenaceae.
UCCGAAUUGGUGUAGGGGUCAACAUUGCUGCUUCUCACCGAUUACAUAAGCUACGGCUUUGUAAUGAGUUCGCAGCAGCCCGGGGUUCGAUUCCCCGAUUCGGAA